CCUGUCCAGAGAGCCAUUUCUUGUGCAACACGGGACUGUGUGUGCAGAAGACUCGACUCUGCGAUGGCCUGGAUGACUGCCAGGAUGAGAGUGACGAAGUCUUCUGCUGCCCACGAUGAGCUGUGGUGCCAAUAGUCCCCUGCAUCCUCUGCUAGUAUGCAAUGGAGAGACAGAUUGCACGGAUGGAGUCGAUGAGCUCAACUGUACUCAGGAAACAACCUGCUCUGCAAUCAGAUAUCAGUGCAAAAGCGGCUCCUGCAUCCUGAAAAAGAACGCAAAGUGUGACGGAGUCGAUGACUGUCGGGAUCGCAGUGAUGAGGCCGACUGUGAACAUCCAGUUCUGCGAGGAUGAAGCUGCAAUCACCCUGCCAAGUAGGAAACAUUUUACACAAUAAAGAGGUUUCCUACUCGGAAGGAAACCCCGACAGAGAUUUUCUGAUUUUGACUUCUUGUUAAUUAAAUUUGUUUGCGUUUUAGUAACAUUAUCACAUCUAAUACUGGAAAUACAAACAGUUUUGUGGUAGGAAUUUGUUCCUGGAUUAUCCUUGGAGUGGCCAAUUCAGUGCCUGAAUAAUAAUAGUAUAAUUAAUAAGCUUAAAACAUUUUAUACUUA
Molecule: long non-coding RNA, 613 nt
Organism: Oreochromis aureus
Lineage: Eukaryota; Metazoa; Chordata; Actinopteri; Cichliformes; Cichlidae
Source: Ensembl